GACGUAGGGCGCAAGCGUUGUCCGGAUUUAUUGGGCGUAAAGAGCUCGUAGGCGGCUUGUUACGUCGACUGUGAAAACCCGCGGCUCAACCGUGUGGCUUGCAGUCGAUACGGGCAGGCUAGAGUUCGGUAGGGGAGACUGGAAUUCCUGGUGUAGCGGUGAAAUGCGCAGAUAUCAGGAGGAACACCGGUGGCGAAGGCGGGUCUCUGGGCCGAUACUGACGCUGAGGAGCGAAGGCGUGGGGAGCGAACAGG
Molecule: ribosomal RNA, 254 nt
Filed under: uncultured bacterium
Lineage: Bacteria
Description: partial 16S ribosomal RNA
Rfam family: Bacterial small subunit ribosomal RNA
Source: RNAcentral